RNAcentral lists this long non-coding RNA (245 nucleotides) under Gossypium barbadense (sea-island cotton). RNAcentral describes it as "long non-coding RNA (GBAR_LNC018210)". The record is from RNAcentral. Lineage: Eukaryota; Viridiplantae; Streptophyta; Magnoliopsida; Malvales; Malvaceae.
AAAAAAUGACCACCCAUUUCAAAAACAGUCAUCCUCAUGAAGAAGCAACAAUGGCCUCCUCAAUACAAUAUUUAGAAGAAAAGUGUAUCCCAAUUUCCUCAAGGCCCUAAGUCAACAAUGAUGAUGGAUACUUACCCAUUCUAAGAAAUCCCAUGGUUUUUUUCUUUAUUUAAUACAAACCUUUUGUCUCUUUCCUAAAAAUCUUUGGUAUAAUUACAUGUUUGUUUUAUUGUUUUUAAGUUUGC